Molecule: ribosomal RNA, 539 nt
Filed under: Mycobacterium tuberculosis
Lineage: Bacteria; Bacillati; Actinomycetota; Actinomycetes; Mycobacteriales; Mycobacteriaceae
Description: bacterial SSU rRNA
Rfam family: Bacterial small subunit ribosomal RNA
Source: RNAcentral
ACGGGUAGCCGGCCUGAGAGGGUGUCCGGCCACACUGGGACUGAGAUACGGCCCAGACUCCUACGGGAGGCAGCAGUGGGGAAUAUUGCACAAUGGGCGCAAGCCUGAUGCAGCGACGCCGCGUGGGGGAUGACGGCCUUCGGGUUGUAAACCUCUUUCACCAUCGACGAAGGUCCGGGUUCUCUCGGAUUGACGGUAGGUGGAGAAGAAGCACCGGCCAACUACGUGCCAGCAGCCGCGGUAAUACGUAGGGUGCGAGCGUUGUCCGGAAUUACUGGGCGUAAAGAGCUCGUAGGUGGUUUGUCGCGUUGUUCGUGAAAUCUCACGGCUUAACUGUGAGCGUGCGGGCGAUACGGGCAGACUAGAGUACUGCAGGGGAGACUGGAAUUCCUGGUGUAGCGGUGGAAUGCGCAGAUAUCAGGAGGAACACCGGUGGCGAAGGCGGGUCUCUGGGCAGUAACUGACGCUGAGGAGCGAAAGCGUGGGGAGCGAACAGGAUUAGAUACCCUGGUAGUCCACGCCGUAAACGGUGGGUACUA